Edhazardia aedis is the source of this 71-nucleotide transfer RNA. It matches the Rfam family "tRNA". From Rfam's summary of the family: Transfer RNA (tRNA) molecules are approximately 80 nucleotides in length. NCBI's taxonomy places the organism in Eukaryota, Fungi, Microsporidia, Culicosporidae. The record is from Rfam.
GGCUCUUUAGUUUAAUGGCAGAAUGUUUGUUUCGUAAUCAAACGGUGACGGUUCGAUUCCGUCAGGAGCCU